This 643-nucleotide ribosomal RNA is filed under the name Pectobacterium carotovorum subsp. carotovorum. RNAcentral's name for it is "bacterial SSU rRNA". It matches the Rfam family "Bacterial small subunit ribosomal RNA", at positions 56 to 689 of the family's 1533-position model. The record is from RNAcentral. Lineage: Bacteria; Pseudomonadati; Pseudomonadota; Gammaproteobacteria; Enterobacterales; Pectobacteriaceae.
UGCAGUCGAGCGGUAGCACAGAGGAGCUUGCUCCUUGGGUGACGAGCGGCGGACGGGUGAGUAAUGUCUGGGAAACUGCCUGAUGGAGGGGGAUAACUACUGGAAACGGUAGCUAAUACCGCAUAACCUCGCAAGAGCAAAGAGGGGGACCUUAGGGCCUCUCGCCAUCAGAUGUGCCCAGAUGGGAUUAGCUAGUAGGUGAGGUAAUGGCUCACCUAGGCGACGAUCCCUAGCUGGUCUGAGAGGAUGACCAGCCACACUGGAACUGAGACACGGUCCAGACUCCUACGGGAGGCAGCAGUGGGGAAUAUUGCACAAUGGGCGCAAGCCUGAUGCAGCCAUGCCGCGUGUGUGAAGAAGGCCUUCGGGUUGUAAAGCACUUUCAGCGAGGAGGAAGGCGGUAAGGUUAAUAACCUUAUCGAUUGACGUUACUCGCAGAAGAAGCACCGGCUAACUCCGUGCCAGCAGCCGCGGUAAUACGGAGGGUGCAAGCGUUAAUCGGAAUGACUGGGCGUAAAGCGCACGCAGGCGGUCUGUUAAGUUGGAUGUGAAAUCCCCGGGCUUAACCUGGGAACUGCAUUCAAAACUGACAGGCUAGAGUCUUGUAGAGGGGGGUAGAAUUCCAGGUGUAGCGGUGAAAUGC